CGCCUUUUCUCAAAUUCCUUCAGCUUAAAGUAUUCAAUAUGCCAAGCUGCCAUAUUUUAGGGUAGCAUGUCUUGAACCCCAUCACCACCCUAUCUAAAAU
Molecule: non-coding RNA, 100 nt
Organism: Ceratotherium simum simum (southern white rhinoceros)
Lineage: Eukaryota; Metazoa; Chordata; Mammalia; Perissodactyla; Rhinocerotidae
Source: RefSeq, a predicted model, not a curated record